CCUACAACGGAGGUGGCGGAACUUUGCGUGUGUGCACGAGGCCUGGAGAUGAAAUGGAGGACUUGGCCUGACGCCAGGUAGUCACUGCUGAGGACCCCAACAACUCUGAACACCUGCGGGCUCUGUUAAGGUCCCAGGGAAAAAUGCAAGCGCUUCGGGGUCAGUUUGUGAUCCACAGAGCUGCGAAGACAGGCGUGACUUGAGUGCUGCGUCCCAGCCUGGGAAUGGAAGGAGAGGAACUAAGGAAGCAGAGCUGUCCCCAGCUGCCCCCCUCCAGGCACAGAAAAUGCACAUAGCUUUUUAAAAAAAAUCAGUUUCCUGUACCACUCUUCUAAGGGUCAAAAGCCACUUUAGGACCAACUGUUCCUUUCACACAGCUAGCAGAUCUUGGGC
Molecule: long non-coding RNA, 393 nt
Filed under: Heterocephalus glaber (naked mole-rat)
Lineage: Eukaryota; Metazoa; Chordata; Mammalia; Rodentia; Bathyergidae
Description: lncRNA (ENSHGLG00000038765.1)
Source: RNAcentral